RNAcentral lists this ribosomal RNA (460 nucleotides) under uncultured bacterium. Its description in RNAcentral is "partial 16S ribosomal RNA". It matches the Rfam family "Bacterial small subunit ribosomal RNA", at positions 338 to 795 of the family's 1533-position model. The record is from RNAcentral.
CCUACGGGAGGCAGCAGUGGGGGAUAUUGCACAAUGGGGGGAACCCUGAUGCAGCGACGCCGCGUGGGUGAAGACUGCCCUAUGGGUUGUAAACCUCUUUUGUCAGGGAGCAAUUGGCGCUACGUGUAGCGUUAUCGAGAGUACCUGAAGAAAAAGCAUCGGCUAACUCCGUGCCAGCAGCCGCGGUAAUACGGGGGAUGCGAGCGUUAUCCGGAUUUAUUGGGUUUAAAGGGUGCGUAGGCGGAAGGCCAAGUCAGCGGUAAAAUCGAGGGGCUCAACCUCGCUCCGCAGUUGAGACUGGCGUUCUUGAGUGGGCGAGAAGUAUGCGGAAUGCGUGGUGUAGCGGUGAAAUGCUUAGAUAUCACGAAGAACUCCGAUUGCGAAGGCAGUUCACUGGACUGCAACUGACACUGAGGCUCGAAAGUGUGGGUAUCAAACAGGAUUAGAUACCCGGGUAGUC